RNAcentral lists this long non-coding RNA (348 nucleotides) under Mytilus galloprovincialis (Mediterranean mussel). Lineage: Eukaryota; Metazoa; Mollusca; Bivalvia; Mytilida; Mytilidae. The record is from RNAcentral.
UUUUCAAGCUAUGAGUCGUUAAAAAUUGCCGAAAUUUGGUUACUUUGUUCAUGAAAAAACACAUAAGAGUGCAUAAAAAAAAAUCUAUGAGAUAGAUUUUUUAAAAUAAACUGUGAGAAGAAAGGUUUCAUAAUAUGUUUUAAGAAAAUAAAAAGAAAAUAUGGUGUCACCGAACUUGUUUUCUUGCCACAAGUAAAAAUUAAAAAUUUCCCUAUUAGCCCAGUAUAAAUUUUGUACUUAAAGAUUUAUCUCCCUUUAAAUGGCUCAUUUGAAAAAUAUGGUUUUAAAAACCAAAACGUUUGAUAUUUGUUAAAAUAUUUUUAAAAAUAUAAUAAAUUAAUAAGUUUU